GACGAACGCUGGCGGCGUGCUUAACACAUGCAAGUCGAACGGACCCUUUGGGGUUAGUGGCGAACGGGUGAGUAACACGUGGGUGAUCUGCCCUGCACUUUGGGAUAAGCCUGGGAAACUGGGUCUAAUACCGGAUAGGACUACGCACUGCAUGGUGUGUGGUGGAAAGCUUUUGCGGUGUGGGAUGGGCCCGCGGCCUAUCAGCUUGUUGGUGGGGUGAUGGCCUACCAAGGCGACGACGGGUAGCCGGCCUGAGAGGGUGACCGGCCACACUGGGACUGAGAUACGGCCCAGACUCCUACGGGAGGCAGCAGUGGGGAAUAUUGCACAAUGGGCGCAAGCCUGAUGCAGCGACGCCGCGUGAGGGAUGACGGCCUUCGGGUUGUAAACCUCUUUCGCCAGGGACGAAGCGCAAGUGACGGUACCUGGAGAAGAAGGACCGGCCAACUACGUGCCAGCAGCCGCGGUAAUACGUAGGGUCCGAGCGUUGUCCGGAAUUACUGGGCGUAAAGAGCUCGUAGGUGGUUUGUCGCGUUGUUCGUGAAAACUCACAGCUUAACUGUGGGCGUGCGGGCGAUACGGGCAGACUGGAGUACUGCAGGGGAGACUGGAAUUCCUGGUGUAGCGGUGGAAUGCGCAGAUAUCAGGAGGAACACCGGUGGCGAAGGCGGGUCUCUGGGCAGUAACUGACGCUGAGGAGCGAAAGCGUGGGGAGCGAACAGGAUUAGAUACCCUGGUAGUCCACGCCGUAAACGGUGGGUACUAGGUGUGGGUUUCCUUCCUUGGGAUCCGUGCCGUAGCUAACGCAUUAAGUACCCCGCCUGGGGAGUACGGCCGCAAGGCUAAAACUCAAAGGAAUUGACGGGGGCCCGCACAAGCGGCGGAGCAUGUGGAUUAAUUCGAUGCAACGCGAAGAACCUUACCUGGGUUUGACAUGCACAGGACGCCGGCAGAGAUGUCGGUUCCCUUGUGGCCUGUGUGCAGGUGGUGCAUGGCUGUCGUCAGCUCGUGUCGUGAGAUGUUGGGUUAAGUCCCGCAACGAGCGCAACCCUUGCCUCAUGUUGCCAGCACGUUAUGGUGGGGACUCGUGAGAGACUGCCGGGGUCAACUCGGAGGAAGGUGGGGAUGACGUCAAGUCAUCAUGCCCCUUAUGUCCAGGGCUUCACACAUGCUACAAUGGCCGGUACAAAGGGCUGCGAUGCCGUGAGGUGGAGCGAAUCCUUUCAAAGCCGGUCUCAGUUCGGAUCGGGGUCUGCAACUCGACCCCGUGAAGUCGGAGUCGCUAGUAAUCGCAGAUCAGCAACGCUGCGGUGAAUACGUUCCCGGGCCU
Molecule: ribosomal RNA, 1330 nt
Filed under: uncultured bacterium
Lineage: Bacteria
Description: bacterial SSU rRNA
Rfam family: Bacterial small subunit ribosomal RNA
Source: RNAcentral